Molecule: unclassified non-coding RNA, 377 nt
Filed under: uncultured Pseudobdellovibrionaceae bacterium
Lineage: Bacteria; Pseudomonadati; Bdellovibrionota; Bdellovibrionia; Bdellovibrionales; Pseudobdellovibrionaceae
Description: uncultured Bdellovibrionaceae bacterium contains 16S-23S intergenic spacer region
Source: RNAcentral
UCCGACUUAACGUCGGCAGUCCUUCUAGAGUGCCCAACUAAAUGCUGGCAACUAAAAGCAAGGGUUGCGCUCGUUGCGGGACUUAACCCAACAUCUCACGACACGAGCUGACGACAGCCAUGCAGCACCUGUGUACCGGCCCUUGCGGGCGACGCCGUCUCCGGCAGUCUUCCAGUACAUGUCAAGACCAGGUAAGGUUCUUCGCGUUGCAUCGAAUUAAACCACAUGCUCCACCGCUUGUGCGGGCCCCCGUCAAUUUCUUUGAGUUUUAAUCUUGCGACCGUACUCCCCAGGCGGGAUACUUAACGCGUUAGCUUCGCCACUGAAGGGGUCAAUACCUCCAACGGCAAGUAUCCAUCGUUUACAGUGCGGACUAC